GCCGCGGUAAUUCCAGCUCCAAUAGCGUAUAUUAAAGUUGUUGCAGUUAAAAAGCUCGUAGUUGGAUCUGGGGUUCGGGUCGGCGGUUUGCCGCUUCGGCGGCUACUGCCGUGCUCGACUCUUACUAGCCGGUGCGUCUUGCGGUGCUCUUCAUCGAGUGCCGUAGGAGCCUGGCAUGUUUACUUUGAAAAAAUUAGAGUGCUCAAAGCAGGCGAUUCCGCCUGAAUAGUGUUGCAUGGAAUAAUGGAAUAGGACCUCGGUUCUAUUUUGUUGGUUUUCGGAACUUGAGGUAAUGAUUAAGAGGGACGGUCGGGGGCAUUCGUAUUCCGGUGUUAGAGGUGAAAUUCUUGGAUCGCUGAAAGACGGACAAAUGCGAAAGCAUCUCCCAAGAACGUCUCCAUUAAUCAAGAACGAAAGUCAGAGGUUCGAAGACGAUCAGACACCGUCCUAGUUCUGACCAUAAACGAUGCCAACUAGCGAUCCGCAGUGGUUGCUAUAAACGGACUCUGCGAGCAGCUUCCGGGAAACCAAAGUGUUUGGGUUCCGGGGGAAGUAUGGUUGCAAAGCUGAAACUUAAAGGAAUUGACGGAAGGGCACCACCAGGAGUGGAGCCUGCGGCUUAAUUUGACCCAACACGGGGAAACUCACCCGGUCCGGACACUGUAAGGAUUGACAGAUCGAGAGCUCUUUCUUGAUUCGGUGGAUGGUGGUGCAUGGCCGUUCUUAGUUGGUGGAGUGAUUUGUCUGGUUAAUUCCGAUAACGAACGAGACUCUAGCCUGCUAACUAGUUGCGCCGUGUUCAUACGCGGCUGUAGACUUCUUAGAGGGACAGGUGGCGUUUAGCCACACGAAAUUGAGCAAUAACAAGUCUGUGAUGCCCUUAGAUGUCCGGGGCCGCACGCGCGCUACACUGAAGGAGUCAGCGUGUGCUAUCCGGGCUCGGAAGAGUUCGGUAACCCGUUGAAACUCCUUCGUGCUUGGGAUUGUGGCUUGUAAUUAUCGCGCAUGAACGAGGAAUUCCCAGUAAGUGCAAGUCAUCAGCUUGCGCUGACUACGUCCCUGCCCUUUGUACACACCGCCCGUCGCUACUACCGAUUGAAUGGUUUAGCAAGGUACUCGGAUUGGUCUCGAUCUUGUACGAAAGUGCGGGAUCUGUGGCCGAGAAGAAGGCCUAACUUGAUCAUUUAGAGGAAGUAAA
RNAcentral lists this ribosomal RNA (1198 nucleotides) under metagenome. Its description in RNAcentral is "SSU rRNA". It matches the Rfam family "Eukaryotic small subunit ribosomal RNA", at positions 573 to 1786 of the family's 1831-position model. The record is from RNAcentral.